This 132-nucleotide small RNA is filed under the name Salmonella enterica. Its description in RNAcentral is "RtT sRNA". It matches the Rfam family "RtT RNA". Rfam says of the family: This family represents a bacterial cis-regulatory element known as RtT RNA. The exact function of RtT is unknown although it is thought that it may be involved in changing the cellular response in relation to amino acid starvation. Lineage: Bacteria; Pseudomonadati; Pseudomonadota; Gammaproteobacteria; Enterobacterales; Enterobacteriaceae. RNAcentral also lists the same sequence under 1 other name. The record is from RNAcentral.
UAUCUGAAGUCUGACGAGGAUGAGAACCUCCGGGGGCAAGAGGUUCGACUCGAGCGAAGCGAGAGAACGUUGCGUCAGCAACGGCCCGCAGGGCGAGCCACGCAGUGGCGAGUCAUCCUCUAUCACCGACCA